Molecule: long non-coding RNA, 995 nt
Organism: Tigriopus californicus
Lineage: Eukaryota; Metazoa; Arthropoda; Copepoda; Harpacticoida; Harpacticidae
Exons: 2
Source: RefSeq, a predicted model, not a curated record
CCACUCGGCCCACCAGCCUGCUAGACUGCCCGCCAACCAACGACCCACCAAGCUAAACGGGCGCUCCGUCGAGUCCUUCCGUUCUUCCCUCACUUGAGCCAGCCCCGGCCCAUGGCCAACAGAGCGGGCCCAGCGCUUUUCGGCCGCCACUCCAAAUCACUCACUCACUCUCUCACAGAGCUAGCCAGAGGGCCUGCCCAUCGAGGUCUCAGACCCCGGGCUCGGAAUCGUAGGCUGCCAGCUGCCUGCCAGCCAGCUCAUCCCACACCAAAUCCCGGACAACCUCCUUCAAUGGCCCAUUAAUCGACAACCUCCCCCCCCCAUCGGCCCACCGAUCGGAAGUAUAUUUUUGGCUGAUGUGGGCACCCGUUUCCUUCUAGUUCACGCUAGACUGAAGUGUGAUUGGAUCCCCUGAAUCAGGCUAGCUCUGACCAGAUUUGACCUCACAACGCCAACAUCCGCCACACUGAAAUAUACUAUCGGCUGGAGGCACAUCCAGAAAUUUCGGCUGAUUGGGCCAAAACGGAAGUCAAACGAAAGCGCUGGUAGGGUGACGACCAUUUGACACUCUGAAUUGGGACACUUCGAGCACGAUGGAGCUUUACCUUUUUGCGGCACUUCAUGGGCCGCCCCGGUCUCAUGGUUGUCGAUUUUUGACUCUGAUCUGAUGAAUGUUGGCUCGGUAUCCACGCUCACCCGGCCACUCUAUUGUAUCGCCCAGAUCACCUGGCUUCACUCAGUCACCCCCAAAGCCGAUCGUCUGUAGUCCAGCCCUCCCUAGUCAGCUAGUCAAGGCCACCCUAAGUCCUUUCCCAUGAUAUCCCUACACGCAUACAUAAGAAAGUAGAUCUUACUGAUGGACCUAAAAACGACCACGGGAGAUUCACUUGUAAACGAAUACUUUCGUCAGGCUGGCAAUGGUCAAUGUGGGUCCCUUUUUGGGUCCAUCAAUCCUAUUAGCAUAUGCAGGCAUAAAAAUUCUUAGAUGACGCGCA